This 434-nucleotide ribosomal RNA is filed under the name uncultured bacterium. Its description in RNAcentral is "partial 16S ribosomal RNA". It matches the Rfam family "Bacterial small subunit ribosomal RNA", at positions 29 to 507 of the family's 1533-position model. The record is from RNAcentral.
AGCGAACGCUGGCGGCAGGCCUAACACAUGCAAGUCGAACGAACCUUUCGGGGUUAGUGGCGGACGGGUGAGUAACACGUGGGAACGUGCCUUUAGGUUCGGAAUAACUCAGGGAAACUUGUGCUAAUACCGAAUGUGCCCUUCGGGGGAAAGAUUAAUCGCCUUUAGAGCGGCCCGCGUCUGAUUAGCUAGUUGGUUGAGGUAAUGGCUCACCAAGGCGACGAUCAGUAGCUGGUCUGAGAGGAUGAUCAGCCACAUUGGGACUGAGAAACGGCCCAAACUCCUACGGGAGGCAGCAGUGGGGAAUCUUGCGCAAUGGGCGAAAGCCUGACGCAGCCAUGCCGCGUGAAUGAUGAAGGUCUUAGGAUUGUAAAAUUCUUUCACCGGGGACGAUAAUGACGGUACCCGGAGAAGAAGCCCCGGCUAACUUCGUG